RNAcentral lists this ribosomal RNA (119 nucleotides) under Calypte anna (Anna's hummingbird). The record is from RNAcentral. Lineage: Eukaryota; Metazoa; Chordata; Aves; Apodiformes; Trochilidae. RNAcentral also lists the same sequence under 2 other names.
GCCUACGGCCAUACCACCCUGAGAACGCCCGAUCUCGUCUGAUCUCGGCAGCUAAGCAGGGUCGGGCCCGGUUAGUACUUGGAUGGGAGACCGCCUGGGAAUACCGGGUGCUGUAGGCU